Molecule: non-coding RNA, 60 nt
Filed under: unclassified sequences
Source: RNAcentral
GCCUUAAUGCGGCUCAUCCGCUGGAUGAACGGUCACAAGCCCGAUAACGCAGAGUGAGGA